RNAcentral lists this small nucleolar RNA (95 nucleotides) under Nomascus leucogenys (northern white-cheeked gibbon). RNAcentral's name for it is "Small nucleolar RNA U13". It matches the Rfam family "Small nucleolar RNA U13". Lineage: Eukaryota; Metazoa; Chordata; Mammalia; Primates; Hylobatidae. The record is from Rfam by way of RNAcentral.
AUCGUUUGUAAGCAUGAUGACCGGGUUUCAUGCUCCUCCAUAGGAUGGGCCUCCCUCGGACCUUGUUACGUUGUUGGCACAUUACUUGUGUGACG